CCAAUAGCGUAUAUUAAAGUUGUUGCAGUUAAAAAGCUCGUGGUUGAAUUUCGGGAUCAGUACGCUGGUCAUGCCUUUGGUAUGCACUGGUGUCACUGGUUUCUCCCUUCUGAAGAACCGUGAUGUCAUUAAUUUGGUGUCGCGGGGAAUCAGGACUGUUACUUUGAAAAAAUUAGAGUGUUUAAAGCAGGCUCACGCUUGAAUACAUUAGCAUGGAAUAAUGAAAUAGGACGUUUGACCCUAUUUUGUUGGUUUCUAGGAUCGACGUAAUGAUUAAUAGGGAUAGUUGGGGGCAUUAGUAUUCAAUUGUCAGAGGUGAAAUUCUUGGAUUUAUUGAAGACUAACUACUGCGAAAGCAUUUGCCAAGGAUGUUUUCAUUAAUCAAGAACGAAAGUUAGGGGAUCGAAGACGAUCAGAUACCGUCGUAGUCUUAACCAUAAACUAUGCCGACUAGGGAUCGGAUGAUGUUAAUUUUAUAAUGACUCAUUCGGCGCCUUACG
Molecule: ribosomal RNA, 500 nt
Filed under: uncultured Glomeromycotina
Lineage: Eukaryota; Fungi; Glomeromycota
Description: partial small subunit ribosomal RNA
Rfam family: Eukaryotic small subunit ribosomal RNA
Source: RNAcentral